Acanthosepion pharaonis is the source of this 92-nucleotide non-coding RNA. The record is from the annotation of a GenBank genome assembly. NCBI's taxonomy places the organism in Eukaryota, Metazoa, Mollusca, Cephalopoda, Sepiida, Sepiidae.
AGCCGGUUCUCGUACGACCACCGAAGUUAAGUAACGUCGAGCCAGGUCAAUACCUAAGUGGGUGACCGCUUGAGAAUAUCAGGUGCUGUAAG